UUUUUUCCUGCGCUCAUUCCUCCGCCACCACUGGCGUUCUUUACGUCCGGAUUAACGUUGUUGUGGCCGAUAUUGCUGUAAGGAGAAGGAGAACUCGCUUGUACCGGAUCUGAAGGAGACGACGCCGGAGCGGGCGACUGUGUACCGGGUGAAGGGGCUGGGGGUGGCGCGGGCGACUGUGUACCAGGUGAAGGGGCUGGGGGUGGCGCGGGCGACUGUGUUCCGGGUGAAGGGGCUGGGGCUGGCGCGGGCGACUGUGUACCGGGUGAAGGGGCUGGGGCUGGCGCGGGCUGGGGCAAAAUGGCAGCGAAUGUGAGUUGAAGA
RNAcentral lists this long non-coding RNA (324 nucleotides) under Gossypium raimondii (Peruvian cotton). Its description in RNAcentral is "long non-coding RNA (GRAI_LNC003252)". Lineage: Eukaryota; Viridiplantae; Streptophyta; Magnoliopsida; Malvales; Malvaceae. The record is from RNAcentral.